Molecule: ribosomal RNA, 492 nt
Filed under: uncultured bacterium
Lineage: Bacteria
Description: partial 16S ribosomal RNA
Rfam family: Bacterial small subunit ribosomal RNA
Source: RNAcentral
AGUGAACGCUGGCGGUAGGCCUAACACAUGCAAGUCGAACGGCAGCACAGUAAGAGCUUGCUCUUACGGGUGGCGCGUGGCGGACGGGUGCGGAAUACAUCGGAAUCUACUUUGUAGUGUGGGCUAACGUAGGGAAACUUACGCUAAUACCGCAUACGACGUACGGGUGAAAGCAGGGGAUCUUCUGACCUUGCGCGAAUGAAUGAGCCGAUGUCGGAUUAGCUAGGUGGCGGGGUAAAGGGCCACAAAGGCGACGAUCCGUAGCUGUUCUGAGAGGAUGAUCAGCCACCCUGGAUCUGAGACACGGCCGCCACUCCGACGGGGGGCCGCAGUGGGGACUAUUGGACAAUGGGGGCAAGCCUGAUCCUGCCAUACCGCGUGGGUGAAGAAGGCCUCCGGGUUCUAAAGCCCUUUUGUUGGGAAAGAAAAGCAGCAGUUUAAUCCCCCGCUGUUCUGACGGUACCCAAAGAAUAAGCACCGGCUAACUUCGUG